This 445-nucleotide ribosomal RNA is filed under the name uncultured bacterium. RNAcentral describes it as "partial 16S ribosomal RNA". It matches the Rfam family "Bacterial small subunit ribosomal RNA", at positions 339 to 795 of the family's 1533-position model. The record is from RNAcentral.
CUACGGGGUGCAGCAGUGGGGAAUAUUGCACAAUGGGCGAAAGCCUGAUGCAGCAACGCCGCGUGAGGGACGACGGCCUUCGGGUUGUAAACCUCUUUUAGCAGGGAAGAAGCGAAAGUGACGGUACCUGCAGAAAAAGCACCGGCUACACUACGUGCCAGCAGCCGCGGUAAUACGUAGGGUGCAAGCGUUGUCCGGAAUUAUUGGGCGUAAAGAGCUCGUAGGCGGUUUGUCGCGUCUGCUGUGAAAAUCCGAGGCUCAACCUCGGACCUGCAGUGGGUACGGGCAAACUAGAGUGCGGUAGGGGGGAUUGGAAUUCCUGGUGUAGCGGUGGAAUGCGCAGAUAUCAGGAGGAACACCAAUGGCGAAGGCAGAUCUCUGGGCCGUAACUGACGCUGAGGAGCGAAAGCGUGGGGAGCGAACAGGAUUAGAUACCCUCGUAGUC